AAUUCUCAAUCCUUCGAAUUUAUUUAAUAUAAAGGAAGAAGGCUUGGAUUUGGAGGUUGUGCUGGCUUUUGAUAAAGUAUAGCUCCUCUUAAAUAUAUUAGCGCAAAACUUUACGGAUCGCUCUUCGGUGUGAUAAUUAUUUACGCCAUUAGUGUGUGAAGUAUUAAAUAGUUUGUGCUUCUAACAGUUCUGUAUAGGACAAGUAUUACUUGAC
This 214-nucleotide unclassified non-coding RNA is filed under the name uncultured Agaricomycetes. RNAcentral's name for it is "sequence contains ITS2". Lineage: Eukaryota; Fungi; Basidiomycota; Agaricomycetes. The record is from RNAcentral.